RNAcentral lists this ribosomal RNA (433 nucleotides) under uncultured bacterium. RNAcentral describes it as "partial 16S ribosomal RNA". It matches the Rfam family "Bacterial small subunit ribosomal RNA", at positions 29 to 507 of the family's 1533-position model. The record is from RNAcentral.
AACGAACGCUGGCGGCAUGCCUAACACAUGCAAGUCGAACGAGACCUUCGGGUCUAGUGGCGCACGGGUGCGUAACGCGUGGGAACCUGCCCUUAGGUUCGGAAUAACUCCCCGAAAGGGGUGCUAAUACCGGCUAAUGUCUUCGGACCAAAGAUUUAUCGCCUUUGGAUGGGCCCGCGUUGGAUUAGCUAGUUGGUAGGGUAAAAGCCUACCAAGGCGACGAUCCAUAGCUGGUCUGAGAGGAUGAGCAGCCACACUGGGACUGAGACACGGCCCAGAAUCCUACGGGAGGCAGCAGUGGGGAAUAUUGGACAAUGGGCGAAAGCCUGAUCCAGCAAUGCCGCGUGAGUGAUGAAGGCCUUAGGGUUGUAAAGCUCUUUUACCCGGGAUGAUAAUGACAGUACCGGGAGAAUAAGCUCCGGCUAACUCCGUG